GUUUCUUCCAUCAGCCCAUGUGAGUCAUGGCUUUCGUGCAAGCUGGCUUCAGGACCUGUACCCACGAGGUAAAAAAAACAUCGAGUGGGGACAGCAGGUGGGAGCUUUCUAAGCCAGACAAAGGAGACCUGAGAAGGAACUGUGGUGAAGGGACAAGCCCAAGGCAAAGGACUGUCCGGCCACCUCCUCUCCUGGAGCAGGCAGCUGAGAUCUGCAUAGCCAGGAGACAUUUUGCAAGACUCAACACCUGGAGCAGUGCUAACCAGGCAAGGACGAGCUCUGUUGCUAUCAGGAUUUUGAUCUCUCUCUCUCUUUCUCUCUUUCUCUGUCUGUGCAUUUGUGUAGUUUUGUUGUGUUCGGUCAGGGAAACGAGCACCUGGUAAGUGGGGCAGGAAGGAGCAGCAGAGGAGUGAAGAUCAGUGCUUUUUGCUUUAAAUGGUACGGAAAGAAAAACACCUGUAGGGAGAUUUGGGGGGGUUGGGGUUGUUUGCUGUGUAGAAUAUAGGAUCUCUUUAAAACAGCUGUGUUUUGGGGAGGGAGAAGUCUCAGCUUUCAGUAUAUCCCACUCUGCUUGGUCUCUGUAUCCUUCCUGGGGCUACGCAGAGGGCUGGGUGCAGCCGCCUGCUGCAGAGCAUCCAACCUCCGUGGCUGGCAGGGGGACGUGGGGAGCAAGCUGUCGGCGCAUGGCGAGCUGCUGUAUGGUGCUGCCUUAUAAAAAUAAAUGGCACAGCGUGUCUCGGUCA
This 743-nucleotide long non-coding RNA is filed under the name Anas platyrhynchos platyrhynchos (common mallard). RNAcentral's name for it is "lncRNA (ENSAPLG00000023616.1)". Lineage: Eukaryota; Metazoa; Chordata; Aves; Anseriformes; Anatidae. The record is from RNAcentral.